GGAGGGUGCAAGCGUUAUCCGGAUUCACUGGGUUUAAAGGGUGCGUAGGCGGGCAGGUAAGUCCGUGGUGAAAUCUCUGAGCUUAACUCAGAAACUGCCAUGGAUACUAUUUGUCUUGAAUGUUGUGGAGGUAAGCGGAAUAUGUCAUGUAGCGGUGAAAUGCUUAGAUAUGACAUAGAACACCAAUUGCGAAGGCAGCUUACUACACAAAUAUUGACGCUGAGGCACGAAAGCGUGGGGAUCAAACAGGAUUAGAUACCCUGGUAGUCCACGCCCUAAACGAUGAUUACUCGACAUCAGCGAUACACUGUUGGUGUCUGAGCGAAAGCAUUAAGUAAUCCACCUGGGAAGUACGAUCGCAAGAUUG
RNAcentral lists this ribosomal RNA (367 nucleotides) under uncultured bacterium. RNAcentral describes it as "bacterial SSU rRNA". It matches the Rfam family "Bacterial small subunit ribosomal RNA", at positions 527 to 896 of the family's 1533-position model. The record is from RNAcentral.